Molecule: ribosomal RNA, 468 nt
Filed under: uncultured bacterium
Lineage: Bacteria
Description: partial 16S ribosomal RNA
Rfam family: Bacterial small subunit ribosomal RNA
Source: RNAcentral
GACGAACGCUGGCGGCGUGCUUAACACAUGCAAGUCGAACGGAAAGGCCCGGCGUUUGUUGGUUGCUCGAUUGGCGAACGGGUGAGUAACACGUGAGUAACCUGCCCUUGUCUGUGGGAUAACUUCAGGAAACUGGGGCGAAUACCGGGUAUGAUCUCCUGCUGCAUGUGGUGGGUUGGUGAGUGUCGGCGGUUGGGGCUGGACUCGCUGCUUAUCAGCUGGUUGGGGUGGUAGGUGCUUACCAAGGCUUUGACGGGUAGCCUGCCUGAGAGGGUUACCGGCCACAUUGGGACUGAGAUACGGACCAGACUCCUACGGGAGGCAGCAGUGGGGAAUAUUGCAGAAUGGGCGGAAGCCUGAUGCAGCAACGCCGCGUGCGGGAUGACGGCCUUCGGGUUGUAAACCGAUUUCGAAUGUGACGAAGCGUGAGUGACGGUAAUGGGUAAAGAAGCACCGGCUAACUACGUG